This 492-nucleotide long non-coding RNA is filed under the name Physcomitrium patens. Its description in RNAcentral is "long non-coding RNA (PPAT_LNC009741)". Lineage: Eukaryota; Viridiplantae; Streptophyta; Bryopsida; Funariales; Funariaceae. The record is from RNAcentral.
UAAUGAAGAUCUAUCAAACCAGUUGAGAAAGGAGUCGAUGGACUGGAGGAAGAAGACGAAGAUUUUUAGUUGGAACCGGAAUUGGUAGAACCAAUAAUAGGUACUGCGGCAAUUGAUUAAUUAGAUAGGCUAGAGGGAUCGCAAUUUUUGUGGAGAUUUAUUAAGUAGUUUUUAGAUAGGUAUCAAUUGAGUAUUUGUGAGGAUGCUGCACAAAUAGGAGUGGGGCUAUGUAGAAUAGAUAUUAAUUCAUUUUUAAAAGAUAUUGAUAAAAUAUAUUAACAGUCCAUAUAAAAGAAAAUUUAAGAGUACAGAUGAGUGAUUUAGUUAUUAAAAGCAAUUAAUUAUAGAAUUACAGUUAGAAUCUAAAGAAUCAAGAAAAAGUAUAUAAGAGUUGUAGAAGUUAAUUAGGAUGCCAGACUGUGAUAGUCAUGAGCCGAGGGCCAUCGCUAAGAUAGUUGUGAGCCGGGGUAAGCUUGGUGCUACCUCUUUUCU